This 229-nucleotide ribosomal RNA is filed under the name uncultured bacterium. RNAcentral describes it as "partial 16S ribosomal RNA". It matches the Rfam family "Bacterial small subunit ribosomal RNA", at positions 568 to 796 of the family's 1533-position model. The record is from RNAcentral.
UGCGUAGGCGGAAAAUUAAGUCAGUAAUGAAAUCCUGCAGCUUAACUGUAGAACUGUUAUUGAUACUGGUUUUCUUGAAUACAGUUGAGGCAGGCGGAAUGUGUAAUGUAGCGGUGAAAUGCUUAGAUAUUACACAGAACACCGAUUGCGAAGGCAGCUUGCUAAACUGUGAUUGACGCUCAGGCACGAAAGCGUGGGUAGCAAACAGGAUUAGAUACCCUGGUAGUCC